GCGCUCUUAGUUCAGUUCGGUAGAACGCAGGUCUCCAAAACCUGAUGUCGCAGGUUCAAAUCCUAUAGAGCGUG
Non-coding RNA from Gossypium arboreum, 74 nucleotides. The record is from Rfam. NCBI's taxonomy places the organism in Eukaryota, Viridiplantae, Streptophyta, Magnoliopsida, Malvales, Malvaceae.